AGAGUUUGAUCCUGGCUCAGGACGAACGCUGGCGGCGUGCUUAACACAUGCAAGUCGAACGGAGUUAGACGCUGGAUUGAUGGUAGCUUGCUACCGGAUUUCCUGUUUAACUUAGUGGCGGACGGGUGAGUAACGCGUGAGUAACCUGCCCCGGAGUGGGGAAUAACGUUCUGAAAAGAUCGCUAAUACCGCAUAACACAUACAGAUCGCAUGGUCGGUAUGUCAAAGAUUUAUCGCUCUGGGAUGGACUCGCGUCCGAUUAGCUUGUUGGCGGGGUAACGGCCCACCAAGGCGACGAUCGGUAGCCGGACUGAGAGGUUGAACGGCCACAUUGGGACUGAGACACGGCCCAGACUCCUACGGGAGGCAGCAGUGGGGAUAUUGCGCAAUGGGGAAACCCUGACGCAGCAACGCCGCGUGGAGGAUGACGGUUUCGGAUUGUAAACUCCUUUAUGGGGACGAACUAAGACGGUACCCAUGAAUAAGCUCCGGCUAACUACGUGCC
RNAcentral lists this ribosomal RNA (505 nucleotides) under uncultured bacterium. Its description in RNAcentral is "bacterial SSU rRNA". It matches the Rfam family "Bacterial small subunit ribosomal RNA", at positions 8 to 509 of the family's 1533-position model. The record is from RNAcentral.